AGGGGAAUACCUGGGUCGAAUGGUGGUUUCAUUCCAAGCUUUCCAAGGAAUCUCCAUACUGCUUUCCAGAUUGGCUGCACCAAUUUGCAGUCCCACCAGCAAU
RNAcentral lists this microRNA precursor (103 nucleotides) under Marmota monax (woodchuck). The record is from RNAcentral. Lineage: Eukaryota; Metazoa; Chordata; Mammalia; Rodentia; Sciuridae.